This 497-nucleotide ribosomal RNA is filed under the name uncultured bacterium. RNAcentral describes it as "bacterial SSU rRNA". It matches the Rfam family "Bacterial small subunit ribosomal RNA", at positions 501 to 1002 of the family's 1533-position model. The record is from RNAcentral.
CUACGUGCCAGCAGCCGCGGUAAUACGUAGGGGGCAAGCGUUAUCCGGAAUAACUGGGCGUAAAGGGUGCGCAGGUGGUUUAACAAGUUAGUGGUGAAAGGCAUAGGCUCAACCAAUGUAAGCCAUUAAAACUGUUUAACUUGAGUGCAGGAGAGGAAAGUGGAAUUCCUAGUGUAGCGGUGAAAUGCGUAGAUAUUAGGAGGAAUACCAGUGGCGAAGGCGACCUUCUGGACUGCAACUGACACUGAGGCACGAAAGCGUGGGGAGCAAACAGGAUUAGAUACCCUGGUAGUCCACGCCGUAAACGAUGAGUACUAGGUGUCGGGUGAAGAACUCGGUGCCGAAGUUAACACAUUAAGUACUCCGCCUGGGGAGUACGCUCGCAAGAGUAAAACUCAAAGGAAUUGACGGGGACCCGCACAAGCAGCGGAGCAUGUGGUUUAAUUCGAAGCAACGCGAAGAACCUUACCUAAACUUGACAUACCAAUGACAGCCUU